Thamnophis sirtalis is the source of this 169-nucleotide non-coding RNA. The record is from RefSeq and is a predicted model, not a curated record. Lineage: Eukaryota; Metazoa; Chordata; Lepidosauria; Squamata; Natricidae.
AUUCCCAUAAUUGGAGGACAAGGAGGAGUCAAACCAGCUAAAUACGGUGUCCCAGGUACUGGAUUGGGUGGAACUGGCGUGGCAGGUGUUGGAGGAGGAUACGGAGUCCCUGGACUUGGUGGAGGAGCCGGUUACGGAGCUGGUGGCGGAGCUGGAGGUCUGAUCCCUG